UCAACAUCAAAUACGUCGAUACUCAUGUGUACUUCUGGCCAAAUUUAUAUUGCUAUCUUUGGUCCUGAUAAGUUGAUCAUAUUUUGGGAGCUUAAAUUCACUGUCAAUAUAUCUUUUCUUGAUUUGAAGGGCCUGACGGGUUUCAUGUCAACGAGAUUGGUUUAUUGACUCGGUGGAAGUCCGUGAAGGAUUUCCAUAACAGAGCUGCCAUCAUCAUGAGGUCGCGUUCCGAACUACAGGACACGGAUCUCGACGAUGACUCAGAUGACUCAGAUACGAGCGAGGAGGAGAUUUAGCAGUGCCCCUUCGUAGCCAGCAAACCUCCCACCCCUUGUCAGCUUCUUCAUUGUCACCUAUGUUGCUUCUACCGUGUUGCUCUUUAAUUAUUGACUCGUCAAACCUUAGACAAAUAUGUGAUGCAUGUGGAUCUGUUUGGACGUCUUCUUUUCUGUAAGUUGGCAAGUGAUCCGUAUGCUGCAACAUAAAAAAAUUGUUGUGGUUUGACGUGUAUUUAGAAGCACUCUUUAUGGUUACCAA
Triticum dicoccoides is the source of this 537-nucleotide long non-coding RNA. RefSeq lists it as uncharacterized. The transcript is spliced from 3 exons. The record is from RefSeq and is a predicted model, not a curated record. Lineage: Eukaryota; Viridiplantae; Streptophyta; Magnoliopsida; Poales; Poaceae.